AGAGUUUGAUCCUGGCUCAGGAUGAACGCUAGCGGCAGGCUUAACACAUGCAAGUCGAGGGGCAGCGGGGAGGAAGCUUGCUUUCUCCGCCGGCGACCGGCGCACGGGUGAGUAACACGUAUGCAACCUGCCCCUGUCAGGGGGACAACCCGCCGAAAGGCGGGCUAAACCCGCGUACAUGCCACCGGGGCAUCCCGGAGGCAGGAAAGGCUUCGGCCGGACAGGGAUGGGCAUGCGGCGCAUUAGGCAGUAGGCGGGGUAACGGCCCACCUAACCGACGAUGCGUAGGGGUUCUGAGAGGAAGGUCCCCCACACUGGUACUGAGACACGGACCAGACUCCUACGGGAGGCAGCAGUGAGGAAUAUUGGUCAAUGGUCGGGAGACUGAACCAGCCAAGCCGCGUGAGGGAGGAAGGUACAGAGUAUCGUAAACCUCCUUUGUCAGGGAACAAAGACUGGGACGCGUCCCCGGAUGAGUGUACCUGAAGAAAAAGCAUCGGCUAACUCCGUGCCAGCAGCCGCGGUAAUACGGAGGAUGCGAGCGUUAUCCGGAUUUAUUGGGUUUAAAGGGUGCGCAGGCGGUCUGUUAAGUCAGCGGUCAAAGCCCGGGGCUCAACCCCGGCCCGCCGUUGAAACUGGCAGUCUCGAGUUGGAGAGAAGUAUGCGGAAUGCGCGGUGUAGCGGUGAAAUGCAUAGAUAUCGCGCAGAACUCCGAUUGCGAAGGCAGCAUGCCGGCUCCACACUGACGCUGAGGCACGAAAGCGUGGGUAUCGAACAGGAUUAGAUACCCUGGUAGUCCACGCAGUAAACGAUGAAUGCUGGCUGUCCGGGGGGACUGACCCCUGGGUGGCGAAGCGAAAGCGAUAAGCAUUCCACCUGGGGAGUACGCCGGCAACGGUGAAACUCAAAGGAAUUGACGGGGGCCCGCACAAGCGGAGGAACAUGUGGUUUAAUUCGAUGAUACGCGAGGAACCUUACCCGGGCUCAAACGGGGAGUGGCGCAGGCAGAGACGCCUGUUUCCCACGGGACACUCCCCGAGGUGCUGCAUGGUUGUCGUCAGCUCGUGCCGUGAGGUGUCGGCUUAAGUGCCAUAACGAGCGCAACCCCCGCGUGCAGUUGCUAACAGUCAACGCUGAGGACUCUGCACGGACUGCCGGCGCAAGCCGCGAGGAAGGCGGGGAUGACGUCAAAUCAGCACGGCCCUUACGUCCGGGGCGACACACGUGUUACAAUGGGUGGUACAGCGGGAAGCCAGGCGGCGACGCCGAGCGGAACCCGAAAUCCACUCUCAGUUCGGAUCGGAGUCUGCAACCCGACUCCGUGAAGCUGGAUUCGCUAGUAAUCGCGCAUCAGCCAUGGCGCGGUGAAUACGUUCCCGGGCCUUGUACACACCGCCCGUCAAG
This 1404-nucleotide ribosomal RNA is filed under the name uncultured bacterium. RNAcentral describes it as "partial 16S ribosomal RNA". It matches the Rfam family "Bacterial small subunit ribosomal RNA". The record is from RNAcentral.